Molecule: non-coding RNA, 609 nt
Organism: Lonchura striata (white-rumped munia)
Lineage: Eukaryota; Metazoa; Chordata; Aves; Passeriformes; Estrildidae
Source: RefSeq, a predicted model, not a curated record
GAGCAAUUGAUCACAAUUGUUUGAGUGCAACCAUCCAGCCAAUUCCUUACCCACUGAAUGAUUCACCCAUCAAAUCCAUGUCUCUCCAGUUCAGAGACAAGAAUGUUGAGCAGCACACUGUCCAAUGCUUUGCACAUGUCCAGAAUGGUUAUCCUUCCUCUUUUCCAGUCAGCAGGGACUCCAUCAGACUGGGGAUAUUCACUGAAUAUACAUCCACGUUCCCAAAGGAUGACAUGGCAAAAUGUUAAGUAGUAGAUGAACAGAAGCAAGAGGAAGUCGGCUUUUCCAUAGCACUAGCUUCUGAAAACUAUAUAGUUUCCCACUAAUCUGCUUUUAUAGCACUCUAUACCUGUUAUCCAUGGAUUAAUCUCUCUAUCUUCAUUUUUCUAUGUACACCUAGUUAAUUAAGGAUAGCCUGUUAAUUUACUACUGCUGUAUGAGAACAUUAGAGAUCACUAUCUUUUAACAGUGCUAAUAUAUUAGCCUGCCUAAGUGCAAAUAUUUAAGAUGUAUCUUCUAUGUGCUUACGCUUUCCAAUUGCAAAAUGGCAUUAUGCAAUUCUGUCUUUGGUAAUCUUUUUAAAAAGUUGAAAUAAAUAAUAGGAUCAGA